GGACGAACGCUGGCGGCGUGCUUAACACAUGCAAGUCGGACGGUUGGCACUGGAAGGUUCGCUGGAAGGUGCUGAUAGUGGCGGACGGGUGAGUAACGCGUGAGGACAUGUCUGCAGGAGGGGGAUAACGUUUGGAAACGGACGCUAAGACCCCGUAAGCCGGGAGGUGAAAGUGGCGAAAGCCAGCCUGUGGAGUGACUCGCGUCCUAUCAGCUAGUUGGCGGGGUGAAGGCCCACCAAGGCGAUGACGGGUAGCCGACCUGAGAGGGUGGCCGGCCACACUGGAACUGAGAUACGGUCCAGACUCCUACGGGAGGCAGCAGUGGGGAAUAUUGCGCAAUGGGCGAAAGCCUGACGCAGCCAUGCCGCGUGGAUGAUGAAGGCCUUCGGGUCGUAAAGUCCUUUUCUGAGGGAAGAACUGCCGGGGGAGGAAAUGCCCUUGGCUUGACGGUACCUCAGGAAUAAGCAACGGCUAACUCCGUGCCAGCAGCCGCGGUAAUACGGAGGUUGCAAGCGUUGUUCGGAAUGACUGGGCGUAAAGGGAGCGCAGGCGGCCAAGUCAGUCUGAAGUGAAAGCCCGGGGCUUAACCCCGGAAUAGCUUUGGAUACUGCCUGGCUUGAGUGUGCGAUNGNNANNCGGAAUUCCAGGUGUAGCGGUGAAAUGCGUAGAUAUCUGGAGGAACACCGGUGGCGAAAGCGGCUUUCUGGCGCAUAACUGANNNNGAGGCUCGAAAGCGUGGGGAGCGAACGGGAUUAGAUACCCCGGUAGUCCACGCCGUAAACGUUGUGCACUAGGUGUGGGAGGUAUCGACCCCUUCCGUGCCGAAGCUAACGCAUUAAGUGCACCGCCUGGGGAGUACGGUCGCAAGACUGAAACUCAAAGGAAUUGACGGGGGCCCGCACAAGCGGUGGAGCAUGUGGUUUAAUUCGUGGCAACGCGAAGAACCUUACCCAGGCUUGACAUCCCGAGACCGCCAUGGAAACAUGGUUUCCCCUUCGGGGGCUCGGAGACAGGUGUUGCAUGGCUGUCGUCAGCUCGUGUCGUGAGAUGUUGGGUUAAGUCCCGCAACGAGCGCAACCCUUGUCCCUAGUUACCAGCGGUUCGGCCGGGCACUCUAGGGAGACUGCCGGUGAUAAACCGGAGGAAGGUGGGGACGACGUCAAGUCAUCACGGCCCUUAUGCCUGGGGCGACACACGUGCUACAAUGGCCGGUACAAAGAGCUGCAAAGCCGCGAGGCAGAGCUAAUCUCAAAAAGCCGGUCUCAGUUCGGAUUGGAGUCUGCAACCCGACUCCAUGAAGUCGGAAUCGCUAGUAAUCGCGUAUCAGCCACGACGCGGUGAAUACGUUCCCGGGCCU
Molecule: ribosomal RNA, 1358 nt
Filed under: uncultured bacterium
Lineage: Bacteria
Description: bacterial SSU rRNA
Rfam family: Bacterial small subunit ribosomal RNA
Source: RNAcentral